AAAGACAGGAGUGUAUGUAGUUUACUGAAAGAACAUUUGAAUGACAUUCAGUCCAGAUGGAGAGAACAGUAAUGUUAUGAGAAAAGCCUCUACAUGUUGCUGUUGCUGUACAGUCAGUAAGAGAGACAUAGAAAGACCAGGGACACACUGGGAAAAGAAAAGCUACUUCAUUCAACCAUUUUGUUUUGACAUUAGUUACCAGGUGGUUGUUACAAGUAUUAUGGUAUUUACAUAGUGCAAAGGACACACUGGUUGUCAUGGCUCCAAAACACACUGAUGAGAGUUAGUUACUGAGAAACCUGCACACAGCCAGUGUACAUUUUAGUACUAGACACACCGUCGUGAUCACUUGUAUCAGGGAAGGGCUCAAUUCAACUCAUUCAGAAAAUCCUCAUAGAAAACAGUCAGUUUUCAAUUGACAUGCGUUUUUUUUCUCAAUUACAUUUUUCAUCAGUUGAAUUUCAAUUCACUUCCUGAAUUGAAAAUGAAUUGACCCAACUCCUGACUGUGUCUAUUUAUUACACAACUCCCUCUCACCCCUCCUUCCUUCAUAUUGCAUAUGACCCAGCAUGCCACUCCUAUACAUGGCAUCCUCCUCCAUCUAAUAAUACAUGACUUGAUUUCUAUCAUUUCCCAUCAAAUUACAUCAACUUAUUCAGAUGUUUUAUAUCAAAUGGCUUUAAGAAAAAGGUGAUUGGGGUGUUUAAUACACUGUAGUUCAAACAUUUUAAUUGUUCACAUUUUAUUUACAUGGUUAUAACUGGUGAGGUGGAUAAUUACUUCAUGAAUAUUCAGAGGCUCCUGUGGUGGCUCCUCCCUUUGACCCCUCCUCCCUUUGACCAGUGAGUCCACAUGUCCUGGGUCAAGUUGGACUACCUGUCAGCUUCAAACCCAAACAGUCUCUGAUAAUAGCUAGUUACAGUACAUUUACCUGCCCACCCCAACAAACACGCCCACACUGCCACCGGUCAGUGGACUGGGACCUAAACCAAAUGGAACCAGAGGCUAUAGUAAAACACAGAAGUCAGCUAGCAACAACAAACAAUCCACUCAGAAAACAACCCCAAACAGAUGAACACUUGUCAAUAUAAUCAUCAAUAUUACAGGUUAUGUACAUCAGACAUUUGUUCUGGCUUCAGUUACUGUUAGUAUAUGUCAUGUGACAUGUCAUAUCAUUCAUGUUUUCAAGGGACACGCCAUUCUUUUUUAACACGCCAUUUUCACAUUAGUAGACAUUGGUUUGGUCCUGGAGAUAAUGACUAUGAGGUUAAAAAGUGGUGAUAUGCCCCUUUAAAAUCACACCCAGUGAAAAUAAUACAUGAUUACUGUGAUGGUUAAUGUCAGAAACACAUCGUGUAGGUUUGCAAAUUACAGCAACUUUCCCAAAAUUCCAAGGUUGGAGGAUUAUGUAUUUUCUGCUUAUUCCCAACAGAUUCUGUGGACCUUCCAACCGGGAUUCCUGGAAAAGUGGGGAAUUUUGUAAUCCUAACAAGGUUUUCGAUUGGUUUUGGGAGACAGAGAAACAUGGGAAGGAUGACAACAAUGUAACAUAAGUCUUGAUGAUGGGACAGAGACACACACACGUCUAGCUGUAAACUCUCAGCCCUGCAGGGGCUCAGCAACCUUCUGCUUGGACUGAACCACCAGACCUCCACUAUGAAUAACCCAGGGAUGACAGAGGAGACUUCUCUUCUAGUUAGUCUGUAGUCAGCAGUCACAGGUCUAUCAUCUGGAGGGCUCUGUGUCAUACAGACAGAGGGAGACUUCUCUUCUAGUUAGUCUGUAGUCAGCAGUCACAGGUCUAUCAUCUGGAGGGCUCUGUGUCAUACAGACAGAGGGAGACUUCUCUUCUAG
Oncorhynchus tshawytscha (Chinook salmon) is the source of this 1854-nucleotide long non-coding RNA. The record is from Ensembl. NCBI's taxonomy places the organism in Eukaryota, Metazoa, Chordata, Actinopteri, Salmoniformes, Salmonidae.